CCUGGUGACAAAAGCGGAGAGGCCACACCUGUUCCCAUCUCGAACACAGCAGUUAAGCUCUCCAGCGGCGAUGGUACUGCCACAUCUCGUGGUGGGAGAGUAGCUCGUCGCCGGGA
This 116-nucleotide ribosomal RNA is filed under the name Peptococcaceae bacterium 1109. Lineage: Bacteria; Bacillati; Bacillota; Clostridia; Eubacteriales; Peptococcaceae. RNAcentral also lists the same sequence under 1 other name. The record is from RNAcentral.